UGCCCUAGUAACGGCGAGUGAAGCGGCAACAGCUCAAAUUUGAAAGCUGGCCUUCGGGUCCGCAUUGUAAUUUGUAGAGGAUGCUUUGGGUGAAACGCCAGUCUAAGUUCCUUGGAACAGGACGUCAUAGAGGGUGAGAAUCCCGUAUGUGACUGGAAAUGUUAACCUAUGUAAAGCUCCUUCGACGAGUCGAGUUGUUUGGGAAUGCAGCUCUAAAUGGGAGGUAAAUUUCUUCUAAAGCUAAAUAUUGGCGAGAGACCGAUAGCGCACAAGUAGAGUGAUCGAAAGAUGAAAAGCACUUUGGAAAGAGAGUUAAAAAGCACGUGAAAUUGUUGAAAGGGAAGCGCUUGCAAUCAGACUUGUUUAAACUGUUCGGCCGGUCUUCUGACCGGUUUACUCAGUUUGGACAGGCCAGCAUCAGUUUCGGCGGCCGGAUAAAGGCUCUGGGAAUGUGGCCUUCACUUCGGUGAAGGUGUUAUAGCCCAGGGUGUAAUACGGCCAGCCGGGACUGAGGUCCGCGCUUCGGCUAGGAUGCUGGCGUAAUGGUUGUAAGCGACCCGUCUUGAAACACGGACCAAGGAGUCUAACAUCUAUGCGAGUGUUCGGGUGUCAAACCCCUGCGCGUAAUGAAAGUGAACGGAGGUGGGAACCGCAAGGUGCACCAUCGACCGAUCCUGAUGUCUUCGGAUGGAUUUGAGUAAGAGCAUAGCUGUUGGGACCCGAAAGAUGGUGAACUAUGCCUGAAUAGGGUGAAGCCAGAGGAAACUCUGGUGGAGGCUCGCAGCGGUUCUGACGUGCAAAUCGAUCGUCAAAUUUGGGUAUAGGGGCGAAAGACUAAUC
Molecule: ribosomal RNA, 840 nt
Filed under: Aureobasidium melanogenum
Lineage: Eukaryota; Fungi; Ascomycota; Dothideomycetes; Dothideales; Saccotheciaceae
Also listed under: 1 other name
Description: partial large subunit ribosomal RNA
Rfam family: Eukaryotic large subunit ribosomal RNA
Source: RNAcentral